This 253-nucleotide ribosomal RNA is filed under the name uncultured bacterium. RNAcentral describes it as "partial 16S ribosomal RNA". It matches the Rfam family "Bacterial small subunit ribosomal RNA", at positions 524 to 776 of the family's 1533-position model. The record is from RNAcentral.
UACGUAGGGGGCAAGCGUUGUCCGGAUUCAUUGGGCGUAAAGAGCGUGUAGGCGGCCAGGUAGGUCGGUUGUGAAAACUGGAGGCUCAACCUUCAGAGGUCGACCGAAACCAUCUGGCUAGAGUCCGGGAGAGGAGAGUGGAAUUCCUGGUGUAGCGGUGAAAUGCGCAGAUAUCAGGAAGAACACCCGUGGCGAAAGCGGCUCUCUGGAACGGUACUGACGCUGAGGCGCGAAAGCGUGGGGAGCAAACAGG